RNAcentral lists this non-coding RNA (29 nucleotides) under Rattus norvegicus (Norway rat). The record is from RNAcentral. Lineage: Eukaryota; Metazoa; Chordata; Mammalia; Rodentia; Muridae.
UUCCCAGGCUGUCUGUGUAUUCAUGCUGU